Molecule: transfer RNA, 69 nt
Filed under: Marmota monax (woodchuck)
Lineage: Eukaryota; Metazoa; Chordata; Mammalia; Rodentia; Sciuridae
Description: tRNA.Ala
Source: RNAcentral
GAAUGGUGGCUCAGUGGUAAGAGCAAUUGCCUAGCAUGUGUGAGGUCCUGGGUUCGAUUCUCAGCAUCA